Non-coding RNA from Phasianus colchicus (ring-necked pheasant), 236 nucleotides. The record is from RefSeq and is a predicted model, not a curated record. Lineage: Eukaryota; Metazoa; Chordata; Aves; Galliformes; Phasianidae.
UGGCAGCACGAGUCCCACAACUGGAGUGAAGGUAUGGAGGGCUAUCAGCUGUUCAGGAGGCUCAGGCAGGACCAGUGAGGUUGAAGCGUUGCACUGUAUGCUAAUCAUCUUUUGAGAGCUCAGGAGCAGACAAUCCCACUGUGUCACAAGACAAACAAGAGAGGAAUACUGACCUGAAUGAACAGGGAACUCCUCCUGGAACCAGGGCAGAAAAAUAAAAUAUAUCACCUCUGGAA